Molecule: long non-coding RNA, 558 nt
Organism: Syngnathoides biaculeatus (alligator pipefish)
Lineage: Eukaryota; Metazoa; Chordata; Actinopteri; Syngnathiformes; Syngnathidae
Exons: 3
Source: RefSeq, a predicted model, not a curated record
GCUCAAUGCAAGUGGCUGCUCUGCCAACAACAGAUUCAUUUGCGAUGAUUUCAGUGGGCUAAGCCUGAGCUGACCCGAACAGGGGAAGCCGGAGGAACUGCGAAUGGGGGAAGAAAUCAUUUCCUGGUUGUCAGCCCAAGACAGGGAGGCAGGAAAACACAAAGUUGGAAGCCAUCCAGAGUGGGCUUUUGCCUGCCUGCCUGCCUGCCUGCCUGCCUGCCUGCUCCGUCCAGCUAACAUCGAGCUUCCAGUGGAGCGGAACGGUUCCCCCAAAUCACCCCGAUGUGUCACUUCUAUCAAGGGCGCAUGUGCGCUUGUGCAUGCGUACUUCUGAGAGACGGCCAGACAGACAAACACGGGAAGGCCUGCCAACAUCACGACAGAGUGUGCCAUGUGUGUUUUGAGACACAUUCUGCGUACAUGGCGGUUAGCAUGCCAACUUGCCGGGCAGCCAGGUCAACAGACUGACACGUCGCCAUGGCAACAGCACCACACUCAGCCCUUCCCGCAUGCCAAGUUGUAAAUGUGGAAUUAAAAAAGUCUUUGAAGUUUCAAAUA